AGAGUUUGAUCCUGGCUCAGAACGAACGUUGGCGGCGUGGAUUAGGCAUGCAAGUCGAACGAGAACCCUGGGCAACUGGGGGGAAAGUGGCGAAAGGGGCAGUAAGGCGUGGGUAACCUACCCCGGGGACCGGGAUAGCCAUCCUAACGGAUGGGUAAUACCGGGCGACGUAGCGGAGGGGCAUCUCUUUGCUACCAAAUGAAUUUCGCCCUGGGAGGGGCUCACGUGGUAUUAGCUAGUUGGUAGGGUAACGGCCUACCAAGGCAAAGAUGCCUAGCAGGUGUGAGAGCACGACCUGCGCCACUGGCACUGAGACACUGGCCAGACUCCUACGGGAGGCUGCAGUUGAGGAUCUUCGGCAAUGGGCGCAAGCCUGACCGAGCGACGCCGCGUGCGCGAUGAAGGCCUUCGGGUUGUAAAGCGCUGUCGAGGGGGAGGAAAGCCCGUAAGGGUUUGACCUAUCCCUGGAGGAAGCACGGGCUAAGUUCGUGCCAGCAGCCGCGGUAAU
Molecule: ribosomal RNA, 508 nt
Filed under: uncultured soil bacterium
Lineage: Bacteria
Description: bacterial SSU rRNA
Rfam family: Bacterial small subunit ribosomal RNA
Source: RNAcentral